CGGCAAUAGCUCAAAUUUGAAAUCUGGCCUCCUUGGGGGUCCGAGUUGUAAUUUGUAGAGGGUGCUUCGGCGUAGCUGCGGUAUAAGUUCCUUGGAACAGGACGUCAUAGAGGGUGAGAAUCCCGUACGUUGCCGCGUGUCGACCGCCAUGUGAAGCCCCUUCGAC
RNAcentral lists this ribosomal RNA (166 nucleotides) under Hysteriaceae sp. Its description in RNAcentral is "partial large subunit ribosomal RNA". It matches the Rfam family "Eukaryotic large subunit ribosomal RNA", at positions 99 to 261 of the family's 3401-position model. The record is from RNAcentral. Lineage: Eukaryota; Fungi; Ascomycota; Dothideomycetes; Hysteriales; Hysteriaceae.